AGAGUUUGAUCAUGGCUCAGAUUGAACGCUGGCGGCAUGCCUUACACAUGCAAGUCGAACGGCAGCGCGGGGCAACCUGGCGGCGAGUGGCGAACGGGUGAGUAAAAUAUCGGAACAUACCCUAGAGUGGGGGAUAACGUAGCGAAAGUUACGCUAAUACCGCAUACGCACUAAGGUGGAAAGUGGGGGGAUCUUCGGACCUCAUGCUCAUGGAGUGGCCGAUAUCUGAUUAGCUAGUUGGUGAGGUAAAGGCUCACCAAGGCGACGAUCAGUAGCUGGUUUGAGAGAACGACCAGCCACACUGGAACUGAGACACGGUCCAGACUCCUACGGGAGGCAGCAGUGGGGAAUUUUGGACAAUGGGGCAACCCUGAUCCAGCAAUGCCGCGUGAGUGAAGAAGGCCUUCGGGUUGUAAAGCUCUUUUGUCAGGGAAGAAACGGUGAGUUCUAAUAAAGCUUGCUAAUGACGGUACCUGAAGAAUAAGCACCGGCUAACUACGUG
Molecule: ribosomal RNA, 502 nt
Filed under: uncultured bacterium
Lineage: Bacteria
Description: bacterial SSU rRNA
Rfam family: Bacterial small subunit ribosomal RNA
Source: RNAcentral